RNAcentral lists this ribosomal RNA (253 nucleotides) under uncultured bacterium. RNAcentral describes it as "partial 16S ribosomal RNA". It matches the Rfam family "Bacterial small subunit ribosomal RNA", at positions 524 to 776 of the family's 1533-position model. The record is from RNAcentral.
UACAGAGGGGGCAAGCGUUGUUCGGAAUUACUGGGCGUAAAGGGCGCGUAGGCGGCCUUCUAAGUCGAACGUGAAAUCCCUGGGCUCAACCCAGGAACUGCGUCCGAUACUGGAAGGCUUGAAUCCGGGAGAGGGAUGCGGAAUUCCAGGUGUAGCGGUGAAAUGCGUAGAUAUCUGGAGGAACACCGGUGGCGAAGGUGGCAUCCUGGACCGGUAUUGACGCUGAGGCGCGAAAGCCAGGGGAGCAAACGGG